UUGCUGUUAGCUCCACGGCUAUUGCAAGACCAGCAGCUUUGGUUGAUUUAGACUUGAGAGAACAAUGGCGAAAGGUCUGAUAUGGGCGACAGCAGAUGAUUUGGCUCGAAAUAAGGGACAUGUUCUGUCUCUGUAUCGUCAAAUUUUAAGGAGCCUCAACUCGCCCGAGCUACCACUUACUUGGGCUGCACGACUGUCAAAGAAGGCGGAGGCUCGGUCCAUCUUCUUAGUGGCUUCUGAAGAGCGAUCGGUCCACAAUAUUGCUGACCUCAUUGAUGUAGCUGAGCACACUCUUUCUCUCCUAAGAAAAGGCCAAAUUCCUAAACUUCCCUUAAUAUGAACAUUAUUUAGACUUGCAGACACAUAAGGCCGAUUUAUAGUACAGCUUCAAUCGAAGAAAAUAAGCUUGCCGGUUGCUCGUGUCCGUGUUUGUGUUCGUGUUGGUGUUGGAUUUCAAGUCAAAACUCGAAAAUCAUGAGAUGAGCUGUAUGAAAUGAAGUAUUCAAAUUUGCUGGAGCAAUUGAAUUGGAGUCUUCCACAGCAAGUGAAAAAAUUCUUCUCGAACUAUAGAAAUUAUUACAAAUUUCCUCUCAUGGUUGCAUUUCGUAGUUAUAUGUUUAGAGAGAAAUUUUUUCAAAAAACAAAAUAAUUUAUGAGACAAAAAAAGUGUCUUAAUUUAGGGGACAAAAAUUAUAUUUAUUUAAACAUUUUUUAACAUUAUGAAACCAAUUGAAGUGAUUGUCAUGUGAUUUGUACAUGUUUUUACUUUGCUAGUAAUAUAUGUCUCUUAUGAUUGAUUAUUCCUAUA
This is a long non-coding RNA of Cannabis sativa, 808 nucleotides long. RefSeq lists it as uncharacterized. The record is from RefSeq and is a predicted model, not a curated record. Lineage: Eukaryota; Viridiplantae; Streptophyta; Magnoliopsida; Rosales; Cannabaceae. The transcript is spliced from 3 exons.